ACUUUCAACAACGGAUCUCUUGGUUCUCGCAUCGAUGAAGAACGCAGCGAAUUGCGAUACGUAGUAUGACUUGCAGACGUGAAUCAUCGAAUCUUUGAAUGCACAUUGCGCCCUUUGGUAUUCCAAAGGGCAUGCCUGUUUGAGCGUCAUUU
Molecule: ribosomal RNA, 152 nt
Filed under: uncultured fungus
Lineage: Eukaryota; Fungi
Description: 5.8S ribosomal RNA
Rfam family: 5.8S ribosomal RNA
About the family: 5.8S ribosomal RNA (5.8S rRNA) is a component of the large subunit of the eukaryotic ribosome. It is transcribed by RNA polymerase I as part of the 45S precursor that also contains 18S and 28S rRNA.
Source: RNAcentral